AUUGAACGCUGGCGGAAUGCUUUACACAUGCAAGUCGAACGGCAGCAUAGGUGCUUGCACCUGAUGGCGAGUGGCGAACGGGUGAGUAAUACAUCGGAACGUGCCCAGUCGUGGGGGAUAACGUAGCGAAAGUUACGCUAAUACCGCGUACGAUCUAAGGAUGAAAGCGGGGGACCGUAAGGCCUCGCGCGAUUGGAGCGGCCGAUGUCAGAUUAGGUAGUUGGUGAGGUAAAGGCUCACCAAGCCGACGAUCUGUAGCUGGUCUGAGAGGACGACCAGCGACACUGGGACUGAGACACGACCCAGACUCCUACGGGAGGCAACAGUGGGGAAUUUUGGACAAUGGACGCAAGUCUGAUCCAGCCAUUCCGCGUGGAGGACGAAGGCCUUCGGGUUGUAAACUGCUUUUGUACGGAACGAAAAAGCUCUUACUAAUACUAGGAGUCCAUGACGGUACCGUAAGAAUAAGCACCGGCUAACUACGUGCCAGCAGCCGCCGUAA
This 502-nucleotide ribosomal RNA is filed under the name uncultured bacterium. Its description in RNAcentral is "partial 16S ribosomal RNA". It matches the Rfam family "Bacterial small subunit ribosomal RNA", at positions 30 to 523 of the family's 1533-position model. The record is from RNAcentral.